Choloepus didactylus (southern two-toed sloth) is the source of this 131-nucleotide small nucleolar RNA. RefSeq annotates it as small nucleolar RNA SNORA31. The transcript has a single exon. The record is from RefSeq and is a predicted model, not a curated record. Lineage: Eukaryota; Metazoa; Chordata; Mammalia; Pilosa; Megalonychidae.
AUGCAUCUAUUUGACAGACCUGGAGCAGCUAAUGUCUGCUUCUAAGGUUCACUACGGAUGCAAGGAGAAGGAUCCUCACGCUUUCUGUCUGUCUGAUUGUGGCAGCCAAGACUGAAUGGGGAAAUACAGGA